AUGCAUGUGUGUUGUAUGAGAUUCUCGUGUAUGCACCGUGUCCGAGAGAGGUCUUUGGACGUUCCUCAUUUGCCAUGCCGCCAUCCCGUGGGAACCCGGAAUCCGGGAGCACUCCACCAUCCUUGCAAGACACACUCACGCCCACUUCUUUUGCACCGGUAUCUCCGUGAGCUACCGGAACCGAUAUGUUGUUGUGACAUCAUUUUCGGAUUCGUUGCCAUGGCACCCGUUUCGUUCCGCCAUGGUGACCAAAUGCUUCAUAACAUGCUCAUGUCAACAUUUUCAUUAAAAAUGCAUAAAACUUGCAUAUCUCAUCCGCAUCAUGAUAACAACAUUUAA
This 339-nucleotide ribosomal RNA is filed under the name Triticum aestivum (bread wheat). RNAcentral's name for it is "partial small subunit ribosomal RNA". Lineage: Eukaryota; Viridiplantae; Streptophyta; Magnoliopsida; Poales; Poaceae. The record is from RNAcentral.